This 1400-nucleotide unclassified non-coding RNA is filed under the name Hevea brasiliensis (rubber tree). The record is from RNAcentral. Lineage: Eukaryota; Viridiplantae; Streptophyta; Magnoliopsida; Malpighiales; Euphorbiaceae.
AAUGAAUUUGAACUGGAAUUUGUUUAGCUUAGGAACAACUAAGCCAACAUCACAGAAUAUACAAUAUUUGAUGCUAUGGCUGCAAAACUUCUUUCUGUAACCUAUGCCAACUUCUUCAGACAAUCAUCCAUCGUUGUAGUAUUCCACCGGUUUCAGUCACCAAAUAUUGUGACCAUCACCCCAUGUUCCAGCACUCUGAACUCUCCUCCAUGGUGUCAAGGAUUUGUCAUCUCAUAUUGCAGCAUUGGGGCCUUCCCGUCUUUUGCAGUUUAUCCCAAAGGCAGAUCAUCUGCCUUGGGGACUGAUAAUGUGCCGUGAAAUAGCCUUCAAUGCAUCCAAACUGGCAGUACUUCAAGCUGUGUACAUACUCCACAGGUUUUGUGCUGUUAAAUUGCUCCACCCACAUUCCCAUGCUCACAUCUUCCAUCUUGAACAACCUUAAUUUAUGUUUCUCAAACUCAGAAACAACGAACUGGGCAAUGUCAGAAGACAAAAUGUAGCCUGGCCCAUUUGCAUAGGGAGGAUAAUCUUCCUCUGGCCACUCCUCAUAUGUCACUGCCCAUUUACCAUAUCGAAGAGGCUUAUGGUAGUAAUUUAUGUUCCCAAUGUACAAGCUCCUACCCUCAGGAACUUUUCUUGCUUCAUCAAUGACUGCGUCCACUCUAACAAAUGUGUCAUCAUCACCCUUCAUAAUGUACUUUGCAUGCACAGUGCGGACCCCGUAUUCACAGAUGGCAACUGUUUUUAAUACCACAAGAUCAUAGUUAUCCAUGUAAGGCACAAUAACAAUGUCACCAAAAAAUUCUGCCUCUCUCUUCAACUCCAAAUUCACUUCUUUCCGUGCAUGCAAUGCUACAAAGAACCGAGCUACCAUAUUUGAAGAUUUAAUGAGACUGUGCUGCAUCCAAGACUUCCUCACAGCCAUCCUCUCAGCAAAAUGGUUGCCUGCAGAAAGAACACCAAUAAAAAGUUCUGCUGGCCCGUCAGGAAGAGGUGGUGCUCUCCAUCUGUCUGUCAUCUCUAAAUGCCGCUGAGGAGCAAAACUUGGGUGUGUUGUGGGCAACGAAGCAGCAAAUACAGAGUGAACGUCCACGUCACCAUUCACAGUUAGCCCUGUGGCAUCCUCAAGAGUAUAACCAGUGCGAUAAGGAAACGAAGUGGCAUGCCUCCCAUCAACAGUGACAUGAUAACCUUCCAAACCAGCACUAAGAGUUAGAACAAACAGCCUCUCCUCUACAAAUGGAAAUGGCCAGUCAACAGACACCUUUUUAGUUCGGCCUAUUAGCCGGCUUAACCACCAAAUAGCCUUUGACUCCUCUGAGCGAUUGUCAUCAUCACGGAUCCACUUCUCACACUUCACUUGAUCAUCAACCGUCUCCUCAUCAGCCUUAGACUUCCAA